CUGCGGGGAAGAUUUAACGGGGCUAAGCACAGAACCGAAGCUUGGGGUGCAUAACUUUGUUAUGCGCGGUAGAGGAGCGUUCCGUAAGCCGUUGAAGGUGGAUUGAGAAGUCUGCUGGAGGUAUCGGAAGUGCGAAUGCUGACAUGAGUAACGAUAAUGCGGGUGAAAAACCCGCACGCCGAAAGCCCAAGGUUUCCUUGCGCAACGUUAAUCGGCGCAGGGUGAGUCGGCCCCUAAGGCGAGGACGAAAGUCGUAGUCGAUGGGAAGCAGGUUAAUAUUCCUGCACCUCGCGUAAGUGCGAUGGAGGGACGGAGAAGGUUAGGUGUACCAGGCGUUGGUUGUCCUGGGGAAAGGCGGUAGGUUUGGAUCUUUGGCAAAUCCGGGAUCCUCUAAGACCGAGCACCGAGACGAGCCUUUAUGGCGAAGUCACUGAUACCACGCUUCCAGGAAAAGCUCCUAAGCUUCAGCUUACGCAGACCGUACCGUAAACCGACACAGGUGGGUAGGAUGAGAAUUCUCAGGCGCUUGAGAGAACUCGGGUGAAGGAACUAGGCAACAUGGCACCGUAACUUCGGGAGAAGGUGCACCCUUUUUGGUGGCUCGUGCGAGCUAUAGCUGAAGAGGGUCGCAGUAACCAGGCCGCUGCGACUGUUUAUCAAAAACACAGCACUCUGCAAACACGAAAGUGGACGUAUAGGGUGUGACGCCUGCCCGGUGCUGGAAGGUUAAUUGAUGGGGUCAGCCGCAAGGCGAAGCUCUUGA
This 763-nucleotide ribosomal RNA is filed under the name Salmonella enterica subsp. enterica serovar Typhimurium. RNAcentral's name for it is "partial 23S ribosomal RNA". It matches the Rfam family "Bacterial large subunit ribosomal RNA", at positions 1159 to 1911 of the family's 2925-position model. The record is from RNAcentral. Lineage: Bacteria; Pseudomonadati; Pseudomonadota; Gammaproteobacteria; Enterobacterales; Enterobacteriaceae.